This 103-nucleotide small nuclear RNA is filed under the name Notamacropus eugenii (tammar wallaby). The record is from RNAcentral. Lineage: Eukaryota; Metazoa; Chordata; Mammalia; Diprotodontia; Macropodidae.
UGAAUUUCUAGACUAACUUGCCUAAAAUUGGAACGUACAGAAAAGAUUAACAUAAACCCUGUGCAAUACUGACAUGUAAGUUUAUGAAACAUCCCAAAUUUUU